Molecule: long non-coding RNA, 139 nt
Organism: Empidonax traillii (willow flycatcher)
Lineage: Eukaryota; Metazoa; Chordata; Aves; Passeriformes; Tyrannidae
Exons: 3
Source: RefSeq, a predicted model, not a curated record
UAUUAUGCCAAGGAAGGAAAACAAGUUAACAUCUGGACUGAGUCCAAAUAUGCUUUUGGCAUAGUUCAUGCCCAUGGAGCAAUUUGGAAAGAAAGAGGACUUUUAACUGCUCAAGGAAAAGUUGUGAAAUAUGCUGAAG